Molecule: transfer RNA, 57 nt
Filed under: Agama picticauda
Lineage: Eukaryota; Metazoa; Chordata; Lepidosauria; Squamata; Agamidae
Description: tRNA-Ser
Source: RNAcentral
GAGAUUUAUAAGCGAGCUGCUAAAUCGCCCUUUCGGGCCUGAACUCCCGAACAUCUC